AUUCCGCGUGUAGCAGUGAAAUGCGUAGAUAUGCGGAGGAACACCGAUGGCGAAGGCAGCCUCCUGGGAUAACACUGACGCUCAUGCACAGCAUUAGGGAGCAAACGGGAUUAGAUACCCUGUUGAGUCCACGCCUAAACGAUGUCAACUAGCUGUUGGGGCCUUCGGGCCUUGGUAGCGCAGCUAACGCGUGAAGUUGACCGCCUGGGAAGUACGGUCGCAAGAUUAAAACUCAAAGGAAUUGACGGGGACCCGCACAAGCGGUGGAUGAUGUGGAUUAGUGAUGCAACGCGAAAAGGCGCCUUUACCUACCCUUGACAUGUCUGGAAUCCCGAAGAGAUUUGGGAGUGCUCGCAAAGGGAGCCGGAACACAGGUGCUGCAUGGCUGUCGUCAGCUCGUGUCGUGAGAUGUUGGGUUAAGUCCCGCAACGAGCGCAACCCUUGUCAUUAGUUGCUACGAGGGCGCUCGUGAGACUGCCGGUGACAAACCGGAGGAAGGUGGGGAUGACGUCAAGUCCUCAUGGCCCUUAUGGGUAGGGCUUCACACGUCAUACAAUGGUCGGGACAGAGGGUCGCCAGCCCGCGAGGGGGAGCCAAUCCCAGAAACCCGAUCGUAGUCAGGAUCGCAGUCUGCAACUCGACUGCGUGAAGUCGGAAUCGCUAGUAAUCGCGGAUCAGCAUGUCGCGGUGAAUACGUUCCCGGGUCUUGUACACACCGCCCGUCACACCAUGGGAGUGGGUUUUACCAAGUAGUUAACUAACCGUAAGGAGGGCGAUUACCACAGUAAGUUCAUGACUGGGGUAAGUCGUAACAAGGUAG
Molecule: unclassified non-coding RNA, 820 nt
Filed under: uncultured Bordetella sp.
Lineage: Bacteria; Pseudomonadati; Pseudomonadota; Betaproteobacteria; Burkholderiales; Alcaligenaceae
Description: partial 16S-23S ribosomal RNA intergenic spacer
Rfam family: Bacterial small subunit ribosomal RNA
Source: RNAcentral